RNAcentral lists this unclassified non-coding RNA (305 nucleotides) under plant metagenome. Its description in RNAcentral is "partial contains 5.8S ribosomal RNA, internal transcribed spacer 2, and large subunit ribosomal RNA". The stretch from base 1 to 105 matches the Rfam family "5.8S ribosomal RNA", at positions 50 to 154 of the family's 154-position model. The record is from RNAcentral.
GAAAUGCGAUAAGUAAAGUGAAUUGCAGAAUUCAGUGAAUCAUCGAAUCUUUGAACGCACAUUGCGCCCGCCAGUAUUCUGGCGGGCAUGCCUGUUCGAGCGUCAUUUCAACCAUCAAGCCCCCGGCUUGUGUUGGGGACCUGCGGCUGCCCGCAGGCCCUGAAAAACAGUGGCGGGCUCGCUGUCACACCGAGCGUAGUAGCAUACAUUCUCGCUCAGGGCGUGCUGCGGGUUCCGGCCGUUAAACGACCUUCAUAACCCAAGGUUGACCUCGGAUCAGGUAGGAAGACCCGCUGAACUUAAGC